Molecule: unclassified non-coding RNA, 86 nt
Filed under: Pseudomonas extremorientalis
Lineage: Bacteria; Pseudomonadati; Pseudomonadota; Gammaproteobacteria; Pseudomonadales; Pseudomonadaceae
Source: RNAcentral
GUGGGAGGGGGCUUGCCCCCGAUAGCGGUAGAUCAGUCAGUACAUGUUUGACUGACCCACCCCAUCGGGGGCAAGCCCCCUCCCAC